Molecule: microRNA precursor, 193 nt
Filed under: Oryza barthii
Lineage: Eukaryota; Viridiplantae; Streptophyta; Magnoliopsida; Poales; Poaceae
Description: MIR812 microRNA precursor family
Rfam family: MIR812 microRNA precursor family
Source: Rfam by way of RNAcentral
CCUGAUUUCCGUGUCCAACGUUUGACCGUCCGUCUUAUUUGAAAAAAUUAUAAAAAAAAUUAAAAAGAUAAGUCACGCAUAAAGUAUUAAUCAUGUUUUAUCAUCUAACAACAAUGAAAAUACUAAUUAUAAAAAAAUUUCAUAUAAGACGGACAGUUAAACGUUGGCACGGAAACCCAGGGUUUGCCUUUUU